RNAcentral lists this transfer RNA (73 nucleotides) under Spirochaetota bacterium. Its description in RNAcentral is "tRNA-Ile". It matches the Rfam family "tRNA". Rfam says of the family: Transfer RNA (tRNA) molecules are approximately 80 nucleotides in length. Their secondary structure includes four short double-helical elements and three loops (D, anti-codon, and T loops). The record is from RNAcentral. Lineage: Bacteria; Pseudomonadati; Spirochaetota.
GGGCUCAUAGCUCAGUGGUGAGAGCGGCGUGCUCAUAACUCGAAGGUCCCUGGUUCAAGUCCAGGUGGGCCCA